GGCCUGGUGGUCUAGUAGUAUGAUUCCUUCUUAGGGUGAUCCGAAGUGGAGGAGGUCCCGGGUUCAAUUCCCGGCCAGGCCC
Cubamyces sp. BRFM 1775 is the source of this 82-nucleotide non-coding RNA. The record is from the annotation of a GenBank genome assembly. NCBI's taxonomy places the organism in Eukaryota, Fungi, Basidiomycota, Agaricomycetes, Polyporales, Polyporaceae.